Molecule: unclassified non-coding RNA, 185 nt
Filed under: uncultured Botryosphaeriales
Lineage: Eukaryota; Fungi; Ascomycota; Dothideomycetes; Botryosphaeriales
Description: sequence contains ITS1
Source: RNAcentral
UCGAGUAUUGGGGUUCCUUCUGGGCCCCUACUCCCACACCAUGUGUACCUUACCUUACUGUUGCCUCGGCGAGCCGCCUUGCGGCGCCGGGCCCCUCGUGGGUCCGGAGAGCGCCCGCCGGAGGACCAACCAAAAACUCUUUUGUCAAUCGACGCAGUCUGAGUAUAAUUCUUUGAAUUAAAUUA